This 76-nucleotide transfer RNA is filed under the name Caldisericaceae bacterium. RNAcentral's name for it is "tRNA-Asn". It matches the Rfam family "tRNA". Rfam says of the family: Transfer RNA (tRNA) molecules are approximately 80 nucleotides in length. Their secondary structure includes four short double-helical elements and three loops (D, anti-codon, and T loops). Lineage: Bacteria; Pseudomonadati; Caldisericota; Caldisericia; Caldisericales; Caldisericaceae. The record is from RNAcentral. RNAcentral also lists the same sequence under 2 other names.
UCCCCGGUAGCUCAACAGGUAGAGCGGGUGGCUGUUAACCACUAGGUUGGGGGUUCGAGUCCCUCCCGGGGAGCCA